CUUGUAAAAUAACUAAUAAUUAAUGUUAAUUUAAUAAUCAUUUUGUAAACUGGGAUCAUUCACAAAACUGGCCGAAAUCAUCUUCCCGCGCUCCGCAGUUUCCCGCGGAAUUUCCCCCCUCCCUGGCCAUGCAGGCCAGGGAGGUUAGUCAGUCACCAUCCAGCACUCGCCAAGGCAGGCAGCCCACGCACGGGGAGCUCUCAACUUUCGCGCCAACUUCACCAGUCACUACAAUAGUUCACCUUGCGCAGGUUCAUGACGGUGGGCGGGAUCUCGCUGGCCCAGGCGUACUUGCAGCGCGGGCAGCUGUGGCGCGCCUUCCAGUAGCGGUGCAUGAUGGACUGCAGGAUGGAGGCGAAGGGAGUGACGCCGAUGCCCGUCGCGAUCAGCACGGCGUGCUGCGCCCUGAAGAUGUGGCUGGAGGGCGCGCCGUACGGCCCGUCGAGCAGGAUCUGCAGCCACACGUCGAUACCCUGCAUCGCCUGGCGCGGCCACACGUCGCUACCCGGCACCGUCUGGUGCCACUUGCCAUGCUUCAUUGUUUGUAAACAUCUCUCAGAUAGGCUGAAAAUCUUUCUACAUAUUGAGAUUAGAACAUGCCAGAAUGGUUCAUUUUUUUUUAGAACCAAGAAAAACAAUGAAAAUAAUGUAGUGACAUUAAUUUAAAAGCAUGCAAGUUAAUAUCAAAAAUGUAUUAAUUCUAACCUUAUUUAAAAUAUCAAACACGGUAUUCCGGUUCCAACUCGGCUGAAGAAUUCAUAAAUGUAUAUGAACUACAACAUGUUAUCGUUAGAGGAUACCAGGAUACGUAAUGAACACACUGAUGCACUACACUGCAGGCCGCCUGUACGGGGCGAGCGAGGCGUACAGCAAGCAUCACAACAGAAGCAACACUGGCCACACCAUGCGACCCCCCUGGGGCAUGCGUCGACUCACCUCCGUGCCGUAACCCAGCUCCAGUGUUGGCAUAAGUACCACCUCCUCUCUGAUUGGCUACAAUCAAAACCAUCACUAUGAAGCGCACUACCAGCAUGAACGAAGCAAUAUUUACUCAUCACCUUUUUAUGCAUGUGCAAGAUAGAAGGGUAAGAGAUACCAAAAAUAAAAGUGGAAUAUACUUUAAACGAAAGUAUAAGAUUGCAGCUGAAGUCAAAGGCCCAAAGAAAACUGAUCUGCAGAAAAAUAAACUGAAAAAUAUGGGAAGAGUUAACAGAAAAACAGAUGGAAAAAAAUUUAAAUUGCACAGUUACACACAAACUAAAUGACAGGGGCCCUUCAAAAUUGCAGUAAGCACCAAACCAAAAAGUAAAUUUGAAUACGGAGAAAGAUAAAAAAAAGGCUCAUAAUGAGGGUUGAAAGAAAUGAUUUUGUUUGAAGUUAAACGGGGACUAAUUGGUUUGUGGUGUUGACUUGUGCAGUGUGAUGUUUGUAACUGUGCAAGAGGGUGCCAUGGUCAGAGUAAUGGUUGGAGGUCUAUUCUUCUGAAUACAACACGGUUGAAAGUCAAAUGGGAUUUUACCAAAUUGGAGAAAAAAUGUGAUUUAAUUAUUUAAAGACAAAAUUAGCUGUCUCAUUUAAUGGCAGAAGAGAUGAAAUUAAAACAACAAGGUGGUGUAAAAAACUACUGUAAACAAGAAGCAUGCACUUGGAGGAGGUAAUUUAAACUUUCAUGAUUUAAUAGAUGCAGCAUAUAUUUAACGUAAUUAUUUUUAUUAUUAUUGAAGCUGAAUAAAUAACAAUAACCUUUUGGAA
Long non-coding RNA from Bacillus rossius redtenbacheri, 1752 nucleotides. RefSeq lists it as uncharacterized. Lineage: Eukaryota; Metazoa; Arthropoda; Insecta; Phasmatodea; Bacillidae. The transcript has 2 exons. The record is from RefSeq and is a predicted model, not a curated record.